This 164-nucleotide ribosomal RNA is filed under the name Eriachne pulchella subsp. dominii. Its description in RNAcentral is "5.8S ribosomal RNA". It matches the Rfam family "5.8S ribosomal RNA". From Rfam's summary of the family: 5.8S ribosomal RNA (5.8S rRNA) is a component of the large subunit of the eukaryotic ribosome. Lineage: Eukaryota; Viridiplantae; Streptophyta; Magnoliopsida; Poales; Poaceae. The record is from RNAcentral.
AACACGACUCUCGGCAACGGAUAUCUCGGCUCUCGCAUCGAUGAAGAACGUAGCAAAAUGCGAUACCUGGUGUGAAUUGCAGAAUCCCGUGAACCAUCGAGUCUUUGAACGCAAGUUGCGCCCGAGGCCUUCUGGCCGAGGGCACGCCUGCCUGGGCGUCACGC